UCCACAGCCCACGUCAGACCCUUUAAGUGGCCUCUCAAGAGGCCUCGGGCCCCUUUGUAAGGCAGCGGGAUGCUCAUAAUGGGUCAAUAUCUAUGUUAAUCUGCACCUCACCAAAUUAACAUGCUGUAUAGGUUGGGUGUUGAUGGAUGUGCGUCGUUGUAGAGGUGUUUGUGUGUGUGUGUGUGUGUGUGUGUGUGUGUGUGUGUGGUUAGGAUGUGUCCGUGCGAAGUGCCUGCACCACUUGUGCAGGUAGGUGUGUGAUGGUAUGUUGGUGUGUGAACGUGCGUGUGUUUGUGUGAACAUGUGUUUGCAAUUGUGUGUCCGUGCGCAUGUGUGAGAAGACAGAAGACAGUGUUGUGAAACAGAGGGUAACAGUAGCUCUAUACGUAGCACACGGGACCAGCGG
Long non-coding RNA from Gadus macrocephalus (Pacific cod), 406 nucleotides. RefSeq lists it as uncharacterized. Lineage: Eukaryota; Metazoa; Chordata; Actinopteri; Gadiformes; Gadidae. The record is from RefSeq and is a predicted model, not a curated record. The transcript is spliced from 2 exons.